AGCUUUGCGCAGUGGCAGUAUCAUAGCCAAUGAGGUCAAACCGAGGCGUGAUUAUUGCUAAUUGUGAUGAAGCUUGAUGAAAGCGGAGGGGCUGUGUUCCCAUUAGGGAAGAGCUGCUGACUUAUUUUUUGUUGGGGGCUUCGCACAUGCUC
RNAcentral lists this small nuclear RNA (152 nucleotides) under Xenopus tropicalis (tropical clawed frog). RNAcentral describes it as "U4 spliceosomal RNA (ENSXETG00000041292.2)". The stretch from base 1 to 65 matches the Rfam family "U4 spliceosomal RNA". Lineage: Eukaryota; Metazoa; Chordata; Amphibia; Anura; Pipidae. The record is from RNAcentral.